UGGGGAAUUUUGGACAAUGGGGGCAACCCUGAUCCAGCAAUGCCGCGUGUGUGAAGAAGGCCUUCGGGUUGUAAAGCACUUUUGUCCGGAAAGAAAACGUCGUGGUUAAUACCCGUGGCGGCUGACGGUACCGGAAGAAUAAGCACCGGCUAACUACGUGCCAGCAGCCGCGGUAAUACGUAGGGUGCAAGCGUUAAUCGGAAUUACUGGGCGUAAAGCGUGCGCAGGCGGUCCGCUAAGACAGAUGUGAAAUCCCCGGGCUUAACCUGGGAACUGCAUUUGUGACUGGCGGGCUAGAGUAUGGCAGAGGGGGGUAGAAUUCCACGUGUAGCAGUGAAAUGCGUAGAGAUGUGGAGGAAUACCGAUGGCGAAGGCAGCCCCUGGG
Molecule: ribosomal RNA, 385 nt
Filed under: uncultured bacterium
Lineage: Bacteria
Description: partial 16S ribosomal RNA
Rfam family: Bacterial small subunit ribosomal RNA
Source: RNAcentral